UUGAAGCGUCCAGGCCGUAUGGCCGAUGUUGGGUGAGGGAGUCUCAAGAAAAGCCUUGCCGGACGACUGUAGAGUCCGUACCAAAACUGACACAGGUGGGCGUGGCGAAUAGCCUCAGGGGCUCGAGAAAACGGUCCUGAAGGAACUAGGCAAAUUAACCCCGUAAGUUCGCGAUAAGGGGGCCCUACUCGUAAGAGAGGGCGCAGAGAAAAGGCUCUGGGAACUGUUUAUCAAAAACACAGCACUGUGCUAACUCGCAAGAGGAUGUAUACAGUGUGACGCUUGCCCGGUGCCGGAACGUCAAGGGAGCUGGUUAGCGCAAGCGAAGCUGGCGACCGAAGCGCCGGUAAACGGCGGCCGUAACUCUGACGGUCCUAAGGUAGCGAAGUUCCUUGUCGGGUAAGUUCCGACGCGCAUGAAUAGCGUAAUCACUGGAGCACUGUCUCCAGGACCGACUCGGUGAAAUAGUAGUGGCGGUGAAGAUGCCGCCUACCCGCAGCAAGACGGAAAGACCCCGUGGACCUUUACUGUACGCUUGCAGUGAUCAUGGAUUUGUUCUGCGUAGCAUAGGUGGGAGCCUGCGAAACCCAGCUUUCGGGCUGAGUGGAGGCUCAGGUGAAAUACCACCCUGAACGAAUUCGUGGUCUAACCCCGAUUCCCAUGAAACUGGGCGGGGAACACUGCAUGCCGGGCAGUUUGACUGGGGCGGUCUCCUCCCAAAAAGUAACGGAGGAGUGCAAAGGUUGGCUCAGCGCGGUUGGAAACCGCGCCAAGAGUGCAAGAGCAUAAGCCAGCUUUAGUGCGAGCCAUACACGGCAAGCACUCUCGAAAGAGGGCUCUAGUGAUCCGGCGAUCCCGUGUGGAAGGGUCGUCGCUCAACGGAUAAAAGGUACCCCGGGGAUAACAGGCUGAUCGCUCCCGAGCGUCUAUAGCGGCGGAGCGGUUUGGCACCUCGAUGUCGGCUCAUCACAUCCUGGGGCUGAAGGCGGUCCCAAGGGUUGGGCUGUUCGCCCAUUAAAGUGGUACGCGAGCUGGGUUCAGACCGGCGUGAGCCAGGUCGGUCCCUAUCUGCUGUGGGCGUAGGAAUGUUGAGAGGAUACAAUCUUAGUACGAGAGGAUUGGAUUGGACGUACCCCUGGUGUGCCAGUUGGACCGCUCGGUCCACAGCUGGGUAGCUACGUACGGCAGGGAUAACCGCUGAAAGCAUCUAAGCGGGAAGCCCACCUCAAGAUGAACAUUCCAUGUCGCAAGACGAAAGACCCCCGGUAGACCACCGGGUUGAUAGGACGCGUGUGUAAGCGAAGAGAUUCGUUUAGCUAAGCGUUACUAACGGUCGACGGUUUGGCC
RNAcentral lists this ribosomal RNA (1347 nucleotides) under metagenome. RNAcentral describes it as "bacterial LSU rRNA". It matches the Rfam family "Bacterial large subunit ribosomal RNA", at positions 1563 to 2925 of the family's 2925-position model. The record is from RNAcentral.